This 297-nucleotide ribosomal RNA is filed under the name uncultured Flavobacteriaceae bacterium. RNAcentral's name for it is "partial 23S ribosomal RNA". It matches the Rfam family "Bacterial large subunit ribosomal RNA", at positions 1 to 312 of the family's 2925-position model. The record is from RNAcentral. Lineage: Bacteria; Pseudomonadati; Bacteroidota; Flavobacteriia; Flavobacteriales; Flavobacteriaceae.
AAUAAGCUAUUUAAGAGCGUAAGGUGGAUGCCUUGGCUCUCAGAGGCGAUGAAGGACGUGAUAAGCUGCGAUAAGCUACGGGGGUUGGCACACACAAUUUGAUCCGUAGAUUUCCGAAUGGGGCAACCCACUAUAUUGAAGAUAUAGUAUCCGUUAAGGAAGCAAACCCAGGGAACUGAAACAUCUAAGUACCUGGAGGAAUAGAAAACAAAAGUGAUUCCGCUAGUAGUGGCGAGCGAACGCGGAACAGCCCAAACCAAAAUUGUUUCGGCAAUUUUGGGGUUGUAGGACCACGAC